CAGGGAUAGCUGGUGUGCGUGCAGCGGAAGGCGCUAACUGCCCUGGAUGUGGAGACCCGCGGACUGGACGUGAGAGGCGGGCAGGGGCAGUUGGGGCAGCUGCCCCUACAACACUGAAGAAUUGGAAUAGGAAAGAGUGUGGGGGUAGGGGACGGGGACUCUUUGUCUGCAGUUGGAAUGCGCGGAGGGGCAUGGUGGAAUGUGUCGCGUCCCGGGACCGGACGACAGGAGGCAUGUUCUGCGCUAGCACCGUGACUUUGUUCCCAGCGUGGGGACUGUGGGAGAGAUGGAGAGAGACUGGUACAGAAAUGGUGAGACAAGGAGAGAGCCAUAAAGAGGAAGACAGAGAGAAAGAAGACAAAUGCAUAAAGAGGUUCAGAGACGUGUACGUAAAGAUAGCCCUGAAAGGCGACGAAGCCCACAGAGAGAGGUGGAAGAGGGAAGAGGUAGCGAAAGAAAGGGAGAGCUGAGGAGCAAAGAGGAGUGUGGACGAUGCAGAGACCGAAGGGUGCGCAGACAAAGGAAAGGACAAGCUUGUCCAGAGAGAAUGAGAGACAAACAGAUAAACUGCAAUAAAAAGGCACCACCUUCUGGACCCAAAAGUUUUGUGAUUUGUAAAAGCAGUGAAAAGGAGUCAGGAAAAUGGGACUAAUCUCUACUUUGAGAGGGAGGGAAAGAGAUAUAGUGUGUAUGUAGAAGCAGUGAAAAGGAGUGAGGAAAAGGUUUGGGACUAAUCUCUACCUUAAGGGUAGGACAGUUAGAGGGAUAGACACCCCCUGGUGUUGGGAAAUGAGAUUUUUCUCAUUUCAGGUGACUGUGGAGAUCGAAGGCCUGGUUUUAGGGCUAGCGAACACCUUCUCCCUUUGGUUUUGGUCCACAGAAGACUGGUGAUACAGACUCCUUAUCAGUGUAAUUGUGGGGACUGGUCACCAGCUCUUGCUUGAGCUUUUCCAGAAGAAACUUCACUACUGAAAUAUUCCAAGAGGACUUGAUGCUGCCACAAAGAGAAGAGAAUGAAUAAAGUUGUCGGCUUUGUAAGAGCCAGACAAACAGAGAUACCCAGCACUAAUCAACUUUGUGGCAAAUCCCUCCACAGCCUAAGAAGGUCCUCCCUUGAGCUGGAACCACGGAGAGUCCUGACCAGCCACAGACUGGGGCAUCCUCGCCAGGAGAGGCAGAGUCCAUGGAGCAGCCGAGACAGCUGUGGAAGAGAAGGUGCCAUGCGGAGCUACUGAGAGAGAGGGAAGGGCACCCCAUCACUACACACAGCAAAAAAUGACCUUCUGCCAAAGAAGCUGAUGGUUCAGGAAGAAAAUAGAGCUGACUAUCCCUGAAGGAAAAGGAAACGUGGUACUGUUUUGCUUUAUCACAAAUACAAACAAAAGGUUUAAAGAUGGAAAGAAAAGAACAGAAAGGAAAAAGAGUGAAAAGCCAGGAAAAGCACCUAGGAGGAAUAGCCCUCUGCUGCCAU
This 1471-nucleotide long non-coding RNA is filed under the name Homo sapiens (human). Its description in RNAcentral is "HSALNT0375679". The record is from RNAcentral. Lineage: Eukaryota; Metazoa; Chordata; Mammalia; Primates; Hominidae.